CCCUUAGAUGUUCUGGGCCGCACGCGCGCUACACUGAUGAACGCAACGAGACCACCUGUACCGAAAGGCAUGGGUAAACUUGUGAAAGUUCAUCGUGAUGGGGAUAGAUUAUUGCAAUUAUUAAUCUUCAACGAGGAAUUCCUAGUAAGCGCGAGUCAUCAGCUCGCGUUGAUUACGUCCCUGCCCUUUGUACACACCGCCCGUCGCACCUACCGAUUGAAUGGUCCGGUGAAGCCUCCGGAUUGGCGCGCACCUCGGUGCCGCCGAGAAGUUGGCUAAACCUUACCAUUUAGAGGAAGGUGAAGUCGUANCA
This 313-nucleotide ribosomal RNA is filed under the name uncultured eukaryote. Its description in RNAcentral is "partial 18S ribosomal RNA". It matches the Rfam family "Eukaryotic small subunit ribosomal RNA", at positions 1470 to 1796 of the family's 1831-position model. The record is from RNAcentral.